AUACGUAGGGAGCAAGCGUUGUCCGGAAUUACUGGGCGUAAAGGGCGCGUAGGCGGGAAUUUAAGUUAGAUGUGAAAACUCUGAGCUCAACUUGGAGACUGCAUUUAAAACUGGAUUUCUUGAGGGCAGGAGAGGAAAGUGGAAUUCCUAGUGUAGCGGUGAAAUGCGUAGAUAUUAGGAGGAACACCAGUGGCGAAGGCGACUUUCUGGACUGUACCUGACGCUGAGGCGCGAAAGCGUGGGGAGC
This 247-nucleotide ribosomal RNA is filed under the name uncultured bacterium. RNAcentral describes it as "partial 16S ribosomal RNA". It matches the Rfam family "Bacterial small subunit ribosomal RNA", at positions 523 to 769 of the family's 1533-position model. The record is from RNAcentral.